UACACUCCUGCGGGAGGCAGCAGUGGGGAAUAUUGCACAAUGGGCGCAAGCCUGAUGCAGCCAUGCCGCGUGUAUGAAGAAGGCCUUCGGGUUGUAAAGUACUUUCAGCGGGGAGGAAGGCGAUAAGGUUAAUAACCUUGUCGAUUGACGUUACCCGCAGAAGAAGCACCGGCUAACUCCGUGCCAGCAGCCGCGGUAAUACGGAGGGUGCAAGCGUUAAUCGGAAUUACUGGGCGUAAAGCGCACGCAGGCGGUCUGUCAAGUCGGAUGUGAAAUCCCCAGGCUCAACCUGGGAACUGCAUUCGAAACUGGCAGGCUAGAGUCUUGUAGAGGGGGGUAGAAUUCCAGGUGUAGCGGUGAAAUGCGUAGAGAUCUGGAGGAAUACCGGUGGCGAAGGCGGCCCCCUGGACAAAGACUGACGCUCAGGUGCGAAAGCGUGGGGAGCAAACAGGAUUAGAAACCCCUGUAGUCCCA
Molecule: ribosomal RNA, 474 nt
Filed under: uncultured organism
Description: partial 16S ribosomal RNA
Rfam family: Bacterial small subunit ribosomal RNA
Source: RNAcentral